RNAcentral lists this ribosomal RNA (468 nucleotides) under uncultured bacterium. Its description in RNAcentral is "partial 16S ribosomal RNA". It matches the Rfam family "Bacterial small subunit ribosomal RNA", at positions 28 to 507 of the family's 1533-position model. The record is from RNAcentral.
GACGAACGCUGGCGGCGUGCUUAACACAUGCAAGUCGAACGGAAAGGCCCUGCUUUUGUGGGGUGCUCGAGUGGCGAACGGGUGAGUAACACGUGAGUAACCUGCCCUUGACUUUGGGAUAACUUCAGGAAACUGGGGCUAAUACCGGAUAGGAGCUCCUGCUGCAUGGUGGGGGUUGGAAAGUUUCGGCGGUUGGGGAUGGACUCGCGGCUUAUCAGCUUGUUGGUGGGGUAGUGGCUUACCAAGGCUUGGACGGGUAGCCGGCCUGAGAGGGUGACCGGCCACAUUGGGACUGAGAUACGGCCCAGACUCCUACGGGAGGCAGCAGUGGGGAAUAUUGCACAAUGGGCGGAAGCCUGAUGCAGCAACGCCGCGUGCGGGAUGACGGCCUUCGGGGUGUAAACCGCUUUCGCCUGUGACGAAGCGUGAGUGACGGUAAUGGGUAAAGAAGCACCGGCUAACUACGUG